This 253-nucleotide ribosomal RNA is filed under the name uncultured bacterium. RNAcentral's name for it is "partial 16S ribosomal RNA". It matches the Rfam family "Bacterial small subunit ribosomal RNA", at positions 524 to 776 of the family's 1533-position model. The record is from RNAcentral.
UACGAAGGGGGCUAGCGUUGCUCGGAAUGACUGGGCGUAAAGGGCGCGUAGGCGGUUUGUACAGUCAGGUGUGAAAUUCCCGGGCUCAACCUGGGGGCUGCACUUGAUACGUAUGGACUGGAGUGGGGAAGAGGGUCGUGGAAUUCCCAGUGUAGAGGUGAAAUUCGUAGAUAUUGGGAAGAACACCGGUGGCGAAGGCGGCGACCUGGUCCUUGACUGACGCUGAGGAGCGAAAGCGUGGGGAGCGAACAGG